AGAAGAGUGCGACUAAGUAGUGACAUGUCUCCUGGAAACUCCCAGCAUUUGUAUGACUUGGGAAACUGCUCAGUCAAUAAUGUCUAUGUACUUAUUAACUUCAGUAAACAUCUUAUUCAUGGACCUUUACAGAUCUCCUGUGAACUUUUGUAAGCUCUUUGCAUUCCCAGUGUCAUAUGGCAAGUUCUGCAGCUUGACUGCCCUGAAUAGGCACCUGGCUGAUCAGGACUCAAGAACCAGCUUAGAAUGAGUGAAGGUGCAAUAGGCUGAAUUACUGGAUUUCUGCUUGAUGUCUGUGUACCCAGGAUUAAAAAAAAAA
Molecule: long non-coding RNA, 319 nt
Organism: Oxyura jamaicensis (ruddy duck)
Lineage: Eukaryota; Metazoa; Chordata; Aves; Anseriformes; Anatidae
Exons: 2
Source: RefSeq, a predicted model, not a curated record